Molecule: unclassified non-coding RNA, 493 nt
Filed under: Hevea brasiliensis (rubber tree)
Lineage: Eukaryota; Viridiplantae; Streptophyta; Magnoliopsida; Malpighiales; Euphorbiaceae
Source: RNAcentral
GAUUCGAGUAAAAUAAUUCUGAAGCUCAGACCCCCGGAAAUAUGUCAAGAUUUCCUGCCAGUCUGGUGGAUUCUUAAAUCGGCCCAAAUUGGGUUUCAGUUUCCCAGCCAACACUUUAAGGGCAGUCGAUUUUCCAAUACCAUUGGUUCCAACCAAGCCUAGAACUUGUCCAGGUCUUGGAACUGGCAACCUGUGAAGUUUGAAAGUGUUUGGUCCGUAACGAUGAGUUGUAUCUUUAUCUAAAUCCUUGGGUAAAUUGAUAAUCUGAAUGGCUUCAAAUGGGCAUUUCUUCACACAGAUUCCGCACCCAAUGCACAGUUCUUCUGAUAUAAACGCGAUCUUAGACACAGGGGCAACCUCAAUACAAAGCUUUCCUGUUUUCACAACAGGACAGCUCUUCUUGCAUUCCUGCCGGCACUUCUUCGGCUUGCAGCGAUCGGAGCUGACGAUGGCGAUCCUAGUGAGCCGAUCCGACAUCGCGCUAAUGGAUCAA